This 2928-nucleotide ribosomal RNA is filed under the name Salmonella enterica subsp. enterica serovar Muenchen. Its description in RNAcentral is "23S ribosomal RNA". It matches the Rfam family "Bacterial large subunit ribosomal RNA". Lineage: Bacteria; Pseudomonadati; Pseudomonadota; Gammaproteobacteria; Enterobacterales; Enterobacteriaceae. The record is from RNAcentral.
GGGUUGUGAGGUUAAGCGACUAAGCGUACACGGUGGAUGCCCUGGCAGUCAGAGGCGAUGAAGGGCGUGCUAAUCUGCGAUAAGCGCCGGUAAGGUGAUAUGAACCGUUAUAACCGGCGAUACCCGAAUGGGGAAACCCAGUGUGAUUCGUCACACUAUCAUUAACUGAAUCCAUAGGUUAAUGAGGCGAACCGGGGGAACUGAAACAUCUAAGUACCCCGAGGAAAAGAAAUCAACCGAGAUUCCCCCAGUAGCGGCGAGCGAACGGGGAGGAGCCCAGAGCCUGAAUCAGCAUGUGUGUUAGUGGAAGCGUCUGGAAAGGCGCGCGAUACAGGGUGACAGCCCCGUACACAAAAGCGCAUGUGCUGUGAGCUCGAUGAGUAGGGCGGGACACGUGGUAUCCUGUCUGAAUAUGGGGGGACCAUCCUCCAAGGCUAAAUACUCCUGACUGACCGAUAGUGAACCAGUACCGUGAGGGAAAGGCGAAAAGAACCCCGGCGAGGGGAGUGAAAAAGAACCUGAAACCGUGUACGUACAAGCAGUGGGAGCACAGGUUUACCUGUGUGACUGCGUACCUUUUGUAUAAUGGGUCAGCGACUUAUAUUCUGUAGCAAGGUUAACCGAAUAGGGGAGCCGGAGGGAAACCGAGUCUUAAUUGGGCGUUAAGUUGCAGGGUAUAGACCCGAAACCCGGUGAUCUAGCCAUGGGCAGGUUGAAGGUUGGGUAACACUAACUGGAGGACCGAACCGACUAAUGUUGAAAAAUUAGCGGAUGACCUGUGGCUGGGGGUGAAAGGCCAAUCAAACCGGGAGAUAGCUGGUUCUCCCCGAAAGCUAUUUAGGUAGCGCCUCGUGAAUUCAUCUCCGGGGGUAGAGCACUGUUUCGGCUAGGGGGCCAUCCCGGCUUACCAACCCGAUGCAAACUGCGAAUACCGGAGAAUGUUAUCACGGGAGACACACGGCGGGUGCUAACGUCCGUCGUGAAGAGGGAAACAACCCAGACCGCCAGCUAAGGUCCCAAAGUCAUGGUUAAGUGGGAAACGAUGUGGGAAGGCCCAGACAGCCAGGAUGUUGGCUUAGAAGCAGCCAUCAUUUAAAGAAAGCGUAAUAGCUCACUGGUCGAGUCGGCCUGCGCGGAAGAUGUAACGGGGCUAAACCAUGCACCGAAGCUGCGGCAGCGACGCUGAUGCGUUGUUGGGUAGGGGAGCGUUCUGUAAGCCUGUGAAGGUGGCCUGUGAGGGUUGCUGGAGGUAUCAGAAGUGCGAAUGCUGACAUAAGUAACGAUAAAGCGGGUGAAAAGCCCGCUCGCCGGAAGACCAAGGGUUCCUGUCCAACGUUAAUCGGGGCAGGGUGAGUCGACCCCUAAGGCGAGGCCGAAAGGCGUAGUCGAUGGGAAACGGGUUAAUAUUCCCGUACUUGGUGUUACUGCGAAGGGGGACGGAGAAGGCUAUGUUGGCCGGGCGACGGUUGUCCCGGUUUAAGCGUGUAGGUGUGUGUUCCAGGUAAAUCCGGUUCACUUUAACACUGAGGCGUGACGACGAGGCACUACGGUGCUGAAGCAACAAAUGCCCUGCUUCCAGGAAAAGCCUCUAAGCAUCAGGUAACAUCAAAUCGUACCCCAAACCGACACAGGUGGUCAGGUAGAGAAUACCAAGGCGCUUGAGAGAACUCGGGUGAAGGAACUAGGCAAAAUGGUGCCGUAACUUCGGGAGAAGGCACGCUGACACGUAGGUGAAGUGAUUUACUCAUGGAGCUGAAGUCAGUCGAAGAUACCAGCUGGCUGCAACUGUUUAUUAAAAACACAGCACUGUGCAAACACGAAAGUGGACGUAUACGGUGUGACGCCUGCCCGGUGCCGGAAGGUUAAUUGAUGGGGUCAGCGCAAGCGAAGCUCCUGAUCGAAGCCCCGGUAAACGGCGGCCGUAACUAUAACGGUCCUAAGGUAGCGAAAUUCCUUGUCGGGUAAGUUCCGACCUGCACGAAUGGCGUAAUGAUGGCCAGGCUGUCUCCACCCGAGACUCAGUGAAAUUGAACUCGCUGUGAAGAUGCAGUGUACCCGCGGCAAGACGGAAAGACCCCGUGAACCUUUACUAUAGCUUGACACUGAACAUUGAGCCUUGAUGUGUAGGAUAGGUGGGAGGCUUUGAAGCGUGGACGCCAGUCUGCGUGGAGCCGACCUUGAAAUACCACCCUUUAAUGUUUGAUGUUCUAACGUGGACCCGUAAUCCGGGUUGCGGACAGUGUCUGGUGGGUAGUUUGACUGGGGCGGUCUCCUCCUAAAGAGUAACGGAGGAGCACGAAGGUUGGCUAAUCCUGGUCGGACAUCAGGAGGUUAGUGCAAUGGCAUAAGCCAGCUUGACUGCGAGCGUGACGGCGCGAGCAGGUGCGAAAGCAGGUCAUAGUGAUCCGGUGGUUCUGAAUGGAAGGGCCAUCGCUCAACGGAUAAAAGGUACUCCGGGGAUAACAGGCUGAUACCGCCCAAGAGUUCAUAUCGACGGCGGUGUUUGGCACCUCGAUGUCGGCUCAUCACAUCCUGGGGCUGAAGUAGGUCCCAAGGGUAUGGCUGUUCGCCAUUUAAAGUGGUACGCGAGCUGGGUUUAGAACGUCGUGAGACAGUUCGGUCCCUAUCUGCCGUGGGCGCUGGAGAACUGAGGGGGGCUGCUCCUAGUACGAGAGGACCGGAGUGGACGCAUCACUGGUGUUCGGGUUGUCAUGCCAAUGGCACUGCCCGGUAGCUAAAUGCGGAAGAGAUAAGUGCUGAAAGCAUCUAAGCACGAAACUUGCCCCGAGAUGAGUUCUCCCUGAGACUUAAAGUCUCCUGAAGGAACGUUGAAGACGACGACGUUGAUAGGCCGGGUGUGUAAGCGCAGCGAUGCGUUGAGCUAACCGGUACUAAUGAACCGUGAGGCUUAACCUUACAACGCCGAAG